AUAAAAAUCCUUUCCUGUUUUAUUUCUUGGUUUAAGGGAUUAAGUGUGAUUCAGGCAUGAUGCCAUUAUGUUUUGUUGUAUGCAAUAUCAUUAGGUAAAUCAAGGCUUUAUUUUACUGUUUAAUGCUGAAACAUCUGCAAAAUUGCUUGAGCACUGGGAGAUGGCAUUCAAGCCAAAAGUCAUUGAAGAAGCAAAGUCUCUCACUUUGACAGCAGAACUUCAAAGUCACAUCAGUGCAGCAGAGUAACAACAGUCUGAACACGAAUGGGACAGUGACAUUUCCUCUUUCUUGUUGCUGUUGCAUUUGCUACCACCUUCUGCAGGGAGAAAGAAAGUUAAAAGCAGUCCCACUGAUGCUGCUGACAGUCCUGUACCAACAUUGAAGAACAUCUCAUGGGAAGAGAAAGCGACCAACCAUACCUACUUGCAGUAGGACGAACCAAGAAGAGGAUUGACAAUUUUUAUGUCGUUGUUGACAAGCAGCUCAUCCCCUGUGCAGGAGCCACCUCCCUGAGUGCCAUAGAUGAACUUUUCAAAGUUCAUUAUGUCUUUAACCUAACCUAUGAGGAAUCCCUGGCAAAUGUUUACACCUUUCUACAGACAACAGUCUACAACAUUGACAUAGGUCUAACAAACGAGUCGCCAAGAGUAAGAGAACUACGUGUGAAAUUGUUAAACAAUGUUUAAAUGUUUUUGGUGUGAGAGUUUGUAUGCAAAUAGCCAGCAGCUGAUA
Polypterus senegalus (gray bichir) is the source of this 733-nucleotide long non-coding RNA. RefSeq lists it as uncharacterized. NCBI's taxonomy places the organism in Eukaryota, Metazoa, Chordata, Cladistia, Polypteriformes, Polypteridae. The transcript is spliced from 3 exons. The record is from RefSeq and is a predicted model, not a curated record.